UUUCCGUAGGUGAACCUGUGGAAGGAUCAUUGUCGUGACCCUGACCAAAACUGACCACGCAUGCGUCACCCAUCCCGCCGGCGGUGGCACCGCUCGCCGUCCGGCCAAGUCCCCGACCACCUCCCCUCCUCGGAGGAGGGCCGGGGCGACAGAACCCACGGCGCCGAAGGCGUCAAGGAACACUAUGCCUAACUCGGGGGCGCGGCUGGCCUACCGGCUGCCCACACACGACUCUUGGCAACAGAUAUCUCGGCUCUC
Molecule: unclassified non-coding RNA, 258 nt
Filed under: root metagenome
Description: partial contains small subunit ribosomal RNA, internal transcribed spacer 1, and 5.8S ribosomal RNA
Source: RNAcentral